RNAcentral lists this ribosomal RNA (253 nucleotides) under uncultured bacterium. RNAcentral's name for it is "partial 16S ribosomal RNA". It matches the Rfam family "Bacterial small subunit ribosomal RNA", at positions 524 to 776 of the family's 1533-position model. The record is from RNAcentral.
UACGGAGGGUGCGAGCGUUAAUCGGAAUUACUGGGCGUAAAGGGUGCGUAGGUGGUUUAUUAAGUUAUCUGUGAAAUCCCCGGGCUCAACCUGGGCAGGUCAGAUAAGACUGGUAGACUCGAGUAUGGGAGAGGGUAGUGGAAUUUCCGGUGUAGCGGUGAAAUGCGUAGAGAUCGGAAGGAACACCAGUGGCGAAGGCGGCUACCUGGCCCAAUACUGACACUGAGGCACGAAAGCGUGGGGAGCAAACAGG